This 71-nucleotide transfer RNA is filed under the name Tepidisphaera sp. RNAcentral describes it as "tRNA-Gln". It matches the Rfam family "tRNA". Rfam says of the family: Transfer RNA (tRNA) molecules are approximately 80 nucleotides in length. Their secondary structure includes four short double-helical elements and three loops (D, anti-codon, and T loops). The record is from RNAcentral. Lineage: Bacteria; Pseudomonadati; Planctomycetota; Phycisphaerae; Tepidisphaerales; Tepidisphaeraceae.
AGGCCGAUGGUGUAACGGUAGCACAGCAGAUUUUGGUUCUGUUUGUCCUGGUUCGAAUCCAGGUCGGCCUG